This 1750-nucleotide long non-coding RNA is filed under the name Sus scrofa (pig). Its description in RNAcentral is "lncRNA (ENSSSCG00065034763.1)". Lineage: Eukaryota; Metazoa; Chordata; Mammalia; Artiodactyla; Suidae. The record is from RNAcentral.
UCCUCUCUGAAGUCUCAGCUGCUAAGCCCAGAAGUGUGAGGUUGUUAAGAAUCAGAACUCAGGAGUUCCUGUCGUGGCUCAGUGGUUAGCAAGCCGGAUCAUUAACCCACUGAGCAAGGGCAGGGUCCGAACCUGCAACCUCAUGGUUCCUAGUUGGAUUCGUUAACCACUGUGCCACGACGGGAACUCCCAAAGUCAUUUCUUCUUUUUGUUUCUUCCUAUAAGUUAAAGACACCUCUCUACCUCAUGGAUGUAUUGUAAGGGGAAAAAGCAAACUUAGAUAUGUGGAUAUCCAUUCAUGCAGUGUUGAUUUAUAUCCUUCACUUUAGUCUAGAGAUAUGACUGUCUUGGUUCUGGUUAUUUUUUACUAGGUACACAGUGUUCAAUGGCUAUAAUGCAGUAUUAGCCAGUUAAUUUAAAAUCAUCAUAAUUAUAUGUGUUUGAGGUGUUUUUAGUUGUUGACUCUACUCUUUCCUUACUUUUGGUGAGAUGAUGCUACUCUGAGAAUGUGUUAGUUUUCUAUUGAUGCUGUAGCAAAUGACCGUAAAAUUAGUGGUUCAAAAUAAUGCUCAUUUACUGUUUUGUAGUCUCAUAGGUUAAAGGUCUGACAUUGGUCUCACCAGCAAAAAUCAAGGUGCUUGCAGGGCUGCAUUCCUUGCUGGAAACCCUGGUAAAGAAUCCAUUUCCUUGCUCAGUCACAUUGCCGGCUGAAUUCAGUUCCUUGCAGUGGUAGGACUGAGUUCCUGUUUCCUUGCUGCCUGUCAGCCAGGUCUUUGCUCCUAGAGGAUUCUCUCAGGUCCCUAUGGUGGUCCCCUACAUUUCUGAGUAAACAUUCCACAGAAUCCCUAUUGUCAUAUUAAAUAACACAUUCAUAGACCACAGGGAGUGGAUAUCUUUGUUGUUAGGGGUGGGACUGAGGGGGCACCAUGGUGUGGGGGAGCAGCAUUCUUCCUAUCGCAGAGUUUCAGUUAAUAAUUAACAUGGUGAUAUAUUAAGAAUUUACUUAUUCAUGUAACUUAAAUUAUUCCACAUAAAAACAGGAAACUAACCUUGGAUACAAUUUUGAAUAUUUCACUAUAACAGCCUUUGGCUUUCUUAUUUAUUCCUCAGUAUUAGUGUUUUUCUUGGCUCUUCUCAGUUAAGUUCACUUACAUUAUAAUACGCUGUGAUGGCAUUUUGGGAGAAGAUUUUUUAUCACUUAUUUGACACAUAUUAUUAUUGAUUUUCAAGUCUGUUUCUUUAGGCAACCUUAAGAAUUUACUGUAUCUUUUGUAUGUGUGUGUAUACCUGUGUGUACAUGUGUAAUUUUUAAUUUUAGGAAAAUUUGUGAAUUGGGCAGUUAGUUUUUGUGUUUUGCUGGGAUCAAAUGUAAUGUAAGGUAAAUUAACUAUGAAUUGCACCUAAGAGACUUUUAACUUUGAUGAUGACCAAAUUUGUUAGUCUUAAUUGUCUUCAAUUUAUUCUAAAUGAUAACUAUUUUAAAAAACAGUUAUUUUUCACAAGAGAUGAUGAGUUAUGCAUUUGGAGGGAUAAUUUAAGGAACAAUGGCAGGGAGUUCCCUUUGUGGCUCAAUGGUUAACAAAUCCAACUAGGAUCCAUGAGGAUGCAGGUUUGAUCCCUGGCUUCGUUCAGGACCCAGUGUUGCUGUGAGUUGUGGUGUAGGCCAGUGGCUGUAACUCCAGGUCGAUCCCUAGGCUGGGAACUUCCAUAUGCCACAGGUGCGGCCCUAAAAGGCAAAAAAAGAAAAAAA